GCUAUGGACCAGAAUGUUCUAUUUUGCCAAUUUAACGUAUGGUAUUUGUAAGGAAAUGAAGAUUCUACAACAAGUUCCUGAUUUUCCACGGCUUUUAUAGCCAAAUAAUGGAGUACAUGGCUAUGUGGUCUUAAUGGAUUCAGGAGCGAAGACUUUAACCCUAAAAUUGGCUACAUCAAAAGCGUUGUGGCAAUUUGUAAACCGUACAGACUAUUUACAAGGAAAUAAAACUCUGACAUACAUGUAAAUGCAAUGCAGACUUAUCUCGAACUGAAACUCUCAUGGUAACCAGCUGACCAAAGCUGGCAACCCUGAAAUGUCAAAUUUGAAAGUGCAGUGUUUAGUCUAAAAACGCUUGUAAAAACUGGACAGGAAACUAACACUUUAAUUUCCAAGAUUAGGAAACCAUUUUCUUGCAUUUAUGUCGGCCGGGCUGGUGAUGAGAUAAGCGGCAUGCAUGAGCUGGACAGAAAGGGCUGGAGAGAAAGGGGAGCACAGGCAGCCCACGUCGGGGACGGAACUGCGCUCCGCUUCACCGGCGAACUCCGCUUCGCGCAGCGCGUCAGUCAGUAACAGUAGCAGCGUGGAAGUAACAGGCGAAGCUACGGCAGUCACAUCCAUGCUGCUUUAUUGCCGGUUCCUUCAGCCCACUUUUUAACGGUUAUAUUUGUAAAUAAUCUGCUGGAAAUACGUGCUUAGAUCCCCAGCAGGAGACAGCGAGACCUUGGUUAGUUCCCAGGAAAAAGACCUUCGUCCUUUACUGUCCUGAUUUUAUUCCUUUACCUUGUCAGUAUUAUUUUUUUUUCGUGAAUUUGACACAAAGACCACAAAAAAUACAGAAGAGGACUGUGCAAAUAUUCCAAGGCAUUAACUCGUAACGGGAACUUGGAGCAAGCAAACAUCAGAACGGGCUCUUCUCUUCUUUCACACUUACCCUGGAUGUGCACCUUCCCCUCAUAGCAGCAGUUAUUUUUACAAGCACACAACAAGCUCUUUGGAUUAUAAUAUAAGUUCGUAUAACAUUGAGCUGACAGUUGAAAGACUUCUUGUUGUGAUACAGUUCCUCUUCUAACUGUAAACCACACCAUUCAUAUAAUGAAAAAGAAGUAAAACAUUUAUAUGUCUGAAGCACAUUGAAUAUGCGUAUGUGGGGCGAACAAUCUCUGUCAUUGCCAUUUCAUCCUGACGCCUUAGUUAGCUGCUGGAAAAGAGCCUAAGACCUGCUGCAUUUAAUAAUCACACCAGACUUCCAUUUUUUUUUUUCCUGGUUGAAGGAAACGUUUUGUAACUGCCAUAUUGGAGAAAUAAAAGUCAGACCUGUGACAUCAUGGGUAGAAGU
This is a long non-coding RNA of Brienomyrus brachyistius, 1339 nucleotides long. RefSeq lists it as uncharacterized. The transcript has 2 exons. NCBI's taxonomy places the organism in Eukaryota, Metazoa, Chordata, Actinopteri, Osteoglossiformes, Mormyridae. The record is from RefSeq and is a predicted model, not a curated record.